Molecule: ribosomal RNA, 107 nt
Filed under: Acanthosepion pharaonis
Lineage: Eukaryota; Metazoa; Mollusca; Cephalopoda; Sepiida; Sepiidae
Source: RNAcentral
GGUCAAAUCACGUUGAAAACACCGGUUCUCGUUCGAUCACCGAAGUUAAGCAUCGAAACCAGGUCAGUACUUAGAUGGGGACCGCUUGGGAACACCUGGUACUGUAA